Molecule: transfer RNA, 71 nt
Filed under: Loxodonta africana (African savanna elephant)
Lineage: Eukaryota; Metazoa; Chordata; Mammalia; Proboscidea; Elephantidae
Rfam family: tRNA
About the family: Transfer RNA (tRNA) molecules are approximately 80 nucleotides in length.
Source: Rfam by way of RNAcentral
GCAAUGCUGGUUCAGUGGUAGAAUUCUUACUUUCCAUGCAGGAGAUCAAGGUUCGAUUCCCAGUCAAUGCA